RNAcentral lists this ribosomal RNA (254 nucleotides) under uncultured bacterium. Its description in RNAcentral is "partial 16S ribosomal RNA". It matches the Rfam family "Bacterial small subunit ribosomal RNA", at positions 526 to 779 of the family's 1533-position model. The record is from RNAcentral.
CGUAGGGUGCAGGCGUUAAUCGGAAUUACUGGGCGUAAAGCGUGCGCAGGCGGUUUGUUAAGACAGAUGUGAAAUCCCCGGGCUUAACCUGGGAACUGCGUUUGUAACUGGCAAGCUAGAGUGUGGCAGAGGGGGUGGAAUUCCACGUGUAGCAGUGAAAUGCGUAGAGAUGUGGAGGAACACCGAUGGCGAAGGCAGCCCCCUGGGCUAACACUGACGCUCAUGCACGAAAGCGUGGGGGAGCAAACAGGAUU